Molecule: long non-coding RNA, 381 nt
Filed under: Mytilus galloprovincialis (Mediterranean mussel)
Lineage: Eukaryota; Metazoa; Mollusca; Bivalvia; Mytilida; Mytilidae
Source: RNAcentral
GCAUGCAACAAAUUGUUAAGUUUUAGAUGAUGAAAAAAUCAAACAAAUUUUGACAAAUCAAUUUAGUUUUUUUCCAAAAAAUAACGAUAACAAUCAUUAUUUGAGACUUCUGACAAAUCAAGAGAAGGAUAUUUUUUCAAUCAAUUUGAUGCUAACAGUAGCCGAUAAUGACAGCUUGACACCUGAUGGUAAAGGGCAUUACUACCCUCAAACAAAUUUAAUUAAGUAAUGUAAACUUAUGGACAGUUUAAAUUUAUAUAAAUCUUUAUUAUUUGCAAUUAUAUUUCAUCUUAUAUUUUUUACUGCAACCUUUAUAUAUGUAAAUCAGAUGUUUUAAUGUUUAGAAGGUUUAUAGUUCUUUUUAACUACUUUCUCUUAUAC